UGGAGUAAGGACUGCCCUACAAAGAAGGCGAAGAAGGCUGAGGUGGUAGCACAAGCGAAUGCUGUGCUUGCAACUACAAGUGGGCCCGUAGUGAACAUGGUUGUUGGUGAGGCCACGGCUUCUGAAACCAACGCAGACCGAGUCAUAGCUUGACAGUGACGAUGGGGAAUGCUAGUGCUGCUCAAGUACAUGGAAUAGGAAACGUAGACCUGAAGUUCCCAUCUGGACGUAUUCUAUCCCUAACUAGAGUGCAUUAUGUUCCCGACAUGCGUAGAAAUAUAAUAAGUGGAAGCUGUUUAGUUUCCAAUGGCUUUGAAAUUUCCUUCAAGUGUAAUAAAGUAGUUCUUAUUCACACUGGUACAUUUUUUGGCAAGGGUUACUUGUCAAAUGGUUUGUUUGUAAUAAAUGCUGAACCCAUUUUGGGUACAUUAAAUAAUGUUAUUCUUCCUUCUGUGAA
Molecule: long non-coding RNA, 457 nt
Organism: Daucus carota subsp. sativus
Lineage: Eukaryota; Viridiplantae; Streptophyta; Magnoliopsida; Apiales; Apiaceae
Exons: 2
Source: RefSeq, a predicted model, not a curated record